GGCCCAUUAGCUCAGCUGGUUAGAGCGUGGUGCUAAUAACGCCAAGGUCGCAGGUUCGAUCCCUGCAUGGGCCA
Molecule: transfer RNA, 74 nt
Filed under: Beta vulgaris
Lineage: Eukaryota; Viridiplantae; Streptophyta; Magnoliopsida; Caryophyllales; Amaranthaceae
Description: tRNA-Ile
Rfam family: tRNA
About the family: Transfer RNA (tRNA) molecules are approximately 80 nucleotides in length.
Source: RNAcentral